Molecule: long non-coding RNA, 4405 nt
Organism: Spinacia oleracea (spinach)
Lineage: Eukaryota; Viridiplantae; Streptophyta; Magnoliopsida; Caryophyllales; Amaranthaceae
Exons: 2
Source: RefSeq, a predicted model, not a curated record
UUCCCCUUUCAAUUCCCAUAUUUCAUUUACUCCGUACCUUUAAACAAUAAACCUCCGUCAUUUCAGAGACCAGAGUAGCAAUUUUGUUCUCCCAACCAGUCAAAUUGGAGAUUGAAGAUUAGAGGGACAUUUUUCUUCCAUCAAAUCCAUGAGCAAGGAUUACAUUUCUUCAAUGGCUACAGAUAAUUGGUUUCGUGUUCAAUUCGUAGCUUAGUUUCUAACAUUCUUCCCGAUCAAUUACCUUCUCUCCUGUUAUCCUUGAGAUCCGUGCUUAUUAGCUACAAGAAGAAGACAAAAAGUACUCUGCCAAGAAGUCAUUUGAUCUGUUUCUUUAGAAGCUACUAGAUUGCAAAAGUUGUAUAGUCGAUCAGCUUGAUGUACUAACAGUUUGACAAGAGAAUAGAACAUUUAAGGAGUAGGCAACAUGGCCAGCAUGUCCUCACAGGAGCAUUCAUAGAACCAGCUAAGUCUACUCCUCUUUUUGUUUUUCAUUUUGAAUAUGGGAAAUGUAUUGUGGGAUUAUGCUACAAUAUUAUCUUGUUUCUAACUGGUUGUCUUGGUCUGUAUAUAUAAAUUAUGUAUGCUGGAAUUUAUAUAUGUUGCAUUACAUUACAUUACAAGUGCAAAAAUGAAAGAUUGUUAUUUGAAAUUUCAUAUUUUUAGAGGAGACGCUACUGAACUUUAUACUCAACGAGGUAUGGUCUUACGUUUACAUUUGUAAGCAAGUCAAAAUGAUCCUCUAAAUGUAGUGCCAUGACACCUUCUGUGUGUCCAGCUUAGCAUCCCAUAUAGAUUCUGAAAAGUAGAAGAAAUGCCAGCCCUUUCUUGAACCUCUUCCCUGCAUAUGCAGAUAUAAUGGCAAUGAAAUAACAGACAAAAGUUUUUAAUUCUGUCACAUGAUAAAAUUUGAGUGAAAAUGUUUCGUGUUUCAUCAUAGAAGGCACCUAUUAGGACCGGUGUUGUAUAUAAAACAUAGAGGACAAGAAAAGGUAGCAGUGCAACAUGUAUGAACUUUGAUCUAUAAUGGCUUAGAGGACAAGAAAACCAAGCAUUGACCAAGAAAUCCUAGCAGGAAGCAGAAGCUUUUGAAAACACGUGCACCUUGCAAGGAAAAGUUUGAAUAUAAUCCAGCAAUAAGUAAAUGCAAUAAAGUCAAAAGGCUUCUAAUAAGUAAUAAAAAUAUGCAAUAUCACAAACUUACUACCUGCAAAACUAGUGCAAGAAAUCUAGACAUACAAAUUUCCUCUGUUUGCAUGUUUAAUACACUUAGUAUUAGGUAGUCAAUCCUUCUUCUCAUCUACUUUGGUCUAUUUAAGGCUCGUUUGAUCCUUACAUGUCAUAUUUUGACAAAAAUAGCCGUUUUCGCUCCCAACUCUCAACUCAUGAACCAAAAUAGGAAUUCUUAACCUUUACAUGUUCAAAAUACUUAGUAUUAGCUUGUCAAUCCUCAUUCUCAUCUACUUUGGUCAAUUUAUGCACAUUUUAGGGUCGUUCGAUCCUUACAUGUCAUAUUUUGACAAAAAAUAGCAGUUUUCGCUCCCAAAUGAGACUUAUGUGUGCAUAAAGAACUUGAAAUGAAUCUUAGUAACCUCUAACUAAGCAUAUCAAACAUAAAAAAGAUUUAGAAAGUGUCCUUAGGUUCAUUUGUUGAUAUUUGGGAUCGAAAAUGCCAUUUUUGGCCAAAUAUGACCUAUACCGAGCCAAAUGAGCCUUAGACGUGCAUAACGAACUUGAAAUGAAUCUUAGUAACCUCUAACUAACCAUAUCAAACAUAAAAAGAUUUAGAAAAUGUCAUUAGGUUCAUUUGUUGAUAUUUGGGAUCGAAAAUGUCAUUUUUGUCCAUAAAUGACCUAUAUCGACCCAAAUGACCAAUAGGAGUGCAUAACGAACUUGAAAUGAGUCUUAUAAUCAUAUAACUAAUCAUAUAAAUCAUGAAAAAGGUUUAGAAUGUGGAUAUAGGUUCGUUUGUUGGUAGUUGGGAUCGAAAAUGUCAUUUUUGGCCAUGAAUGACCUAUAUUGACCCAAAUGACCCAUAGGCGUGCAUAACGAACUUGAAAUGAGUCUUAUAAUCAUAUAACUAAUCAUAGAAAUCAUGAAAAAGGUUUAGAAUGUGGAUAUAGGUUCGUUUGUUGGUAGUUGGGAUCGAAAAUGACAUUUUUGUCCAUAAAUGACCUAUAUCGACCCAAAUGGCCCAUAGGCGUGUAUAACGAACUUGAAAUGAGUCUUAUAAUCAUAUAACUAAUCAUAAGAAUCAUGAAAAAGGUUUAGAAUGUAGAUAUAGGUUCAUUUGUUGGUAGUUGGAAUCAAAAAUGCCAUUUUUGGCCAUAAAUGACCUACAUCGACCCAAAUGACCCAUAGGGGUGCAUAACGAACUUGAAAUGAGUCUUAUAAUCAUACUAAUCAUAGGAAUCAUGAAAAAGGUUUAGAAUGUGGAUAUAGGUUCUUUUGUUGGUAGUUGGGAUCGAAAAUGCCAUUUUUGUCCAUAAAUGACCUAUAUCGACCCAAAUGACCCAUAGGCGUGUAUAACGAACUUGAAAUGAGUCUUAUAAUCAUAUAACUAAUCAUAUGAAUCAUGAAAAACGUUUAGAAUAUGGAAAUAGGUUCGUUUGUUGGUAAUUGGGAUCGAAAAUGCCAUUUUUGGCCAUAAAUGACCUAUAUCGACCCAAAUGACCCUUAAGCGUGCAUAACGAACUUGAAAUGAGUUUCAUAAACAUUUAACUAAUCAUAUUAAUCAUUAAAAAGGUUUAUAAUUUUAAUAUAAGUUCGUUUGUUGGUAGUUGGGAUCGAAAAUGCCAUUUUUGGCCAUAAAUUACCUAUAUCGACCCAAAUGACCCUUAGGCGUGCAUAACGAAGUUGAAAUGAGUCUUAUAAUAAUAUAAUUAAUCAUAAGAAUCAUGAAAAACAUUUAGAAUAUGGAUAUAGGUUUGUUUGUUGGUAAUUGGGAUCGAAAAUGUCAUUUUUGACCAUAAAUGACCUAUAUCGACCCAAAUGACCCAUAGGCGUGUAUAACGAACUUGAAAUGAGUCUUAUAAUCAUAUAACUAAUCAUAUGAAUCAUGAAAAACGUUUAGAAUAUGGAAAUAGGUUCGUUUGUUGGUAAUUGGGAUCGAAAAUGCCAUUUUUGGCCAUAAAUGACCUAUAUCGACCCAAAUGACCCUUAGGUGUGCAUAACGAACUUGAAAUGAGUUUCAUAAACAUUUAACUAAUCAUAUUAAUCAUUAAAAAGGUUUAUAAUUUUAAUAUAAGUUCGUUUGUUGGUAGUUGGGAUCGAAAAUGCCAUUUUUGGCCAUAAAUUACCUAUAUCGACCCAAAUGACCCUUAGGCGUGCAUAACGAAGUUGAAAUGAGUCUUAUAAUAAUAUAAUUAAUCAUAAGAAUCAUGAAAAACAUUUAGAAUAUGGAUAUAGGUUUGUUUGUUGGUAAUUGGGAUCGAAAAUGUCAUUUUUGACCAUAAAUGACCUAUAUCGACCCAAAUGAACCAUAGACGUGCAUAACUAACUUGAAAUGAGUCUUAUAAUCAUAUAACUAAUCAUAUGAAUCAUGAAAAACGUUUAGAAUAUGGAAAUAGGUUCGUUUGUUGGUAGUUGGGAUCGAAAAUGCCAUUUUUGGCCAUAAAUGACCUAUAUCGACCCAAAUGACCCUUAGGUGUGCAUAACGAACUUGAAAUGGGUUUCAUAAAGAUAUAACUAAUAAUAAGAAUCAUGAAAAACAUUUAGAAUAUGGAUAUAGGUUUGUUUGUUGGUAGUUGGGAUCGAAAAUGCCAUUUUUGACCAUAAAUGACCUAUAUCGACCCAAAUGAACCAUAGGCGUGCAUAACGAACUUGAAAUGAGUCUUAUAAUCAUAUAACUAAUCAUAUAAAUCAUGAAAAAGGUUUAGAAUGUGGAUAUACGUUCGUUUGUUCGUAGUUGGGAUCGAAAAUGCCAUUUUUGGCCAUAAAUGACCUAUAUCGAUCCAAAUGAUCAAUAGGCGUGCAUAACGAACUUGAAAUGAGUCUUAUAAUCAUCUGACUAAUUUUAUAAAUCAUGAAAAAGGGUUAGAAUGUGGAAAGAGGUUCGUUUGUUGGUAGUUGGGUUCCAAAAUGUCAUUUUUGGCCAAUAUAAUUGUUUUCGUGACCAAUAUAAUUUUUGUUUUCGCAUAUGAAACUUAAUUAAUUUAUUGGUUUGCAUGUACGGUGUUUUUAUAAAGGUUUUCAAAACUCCAAGGGAGGGGCCCUUUACCAAAAAGGAGUUGGAUGAAGUUCGAGACAAGUGGCUACUUACUUCAACGAUUGUGAACUACCCUCAGUGUAAUAAAUAGAGAAGGCUUGUAGUUAUUCGUGACUCCUACAUUAUUUUGUUAUUUAUCGAUUUAAUUAAUUACAUUUGAAUUAAUUCGGUAAUAUUAUUGGAAAUUUGAAAUUUAUAUCA